RNAcentral lists this ribosomal RNA (492 nucleotides) under uncultured bacterium. RNAcentral's name for it is "partial 16S ribosomal RNA". It matches the Rfam family "Bacterial small subunit ribosomal RNA", at positions 30 to 507 of the family's 1533-position model. The record is from RNAcentral.
AUUGAACGCUGGCGGUAGGCCUAACACAUGCAAGUCGAACGGCAGCACAGUAAGAGCUUGCUCUUACGGGUGGCGAGUGGCGGACGGGUGAGGAAUACAUCGGAAUCUACUUUUUCGUGGGGGAUAACGUAGGGAAACUUACGCUAAUACCGCAUACGACCUACGGGUGAAAGCAGGGGAUCUUCGGACCUUGCGCGAUUGAAUGAGCCGAUGUCGGAUUAGCUAGUUGGCGGGGUAGAGGCCCACCAAGGCGACGAUCCGUAGCUGGUCUGAGAGGAUGAUCAGCCACACUGGAACUGAGACACGGUCCAGACUCCUACGGGAGGCAGCAGUGGGGAAUAUUGGACAAUGGGCGAAAGCCUGAUCCAGCCAUACCGCGUGGGUGAAGAAGGCCUUCGGGUUGUAAAGCCCUUUUGUUGGGAAAGAAAAGCAGCAGGUUAAUACCCCGCUGUUCUGACGGUACCCAAAGAAUAAGCACCGGCUAACUUCGUG